ACGGGAGGCAGCAGUGAGGAAUAUUGGUCAAUGGGUGGAAGCCUGAACCAGCCAAGUCGCGUGAAGGAAGAAGGUAUUAUGUAUUGUAAACUUCUUUAGCAGCAGAGUAAUAAGGGGGUCGCGACCCCCGAUGCAAGUAUGCUGAAAAUAAGGAUCGGCUAACUCCGUGCCAGCAGCCGCGGUAAUACGGAGGAUCCGAGCGUUAUCCGGAUUUAUUGGGUUUAAAGGGUGCGCAGGCGGCUUUUUAAGUCAGUGGUUAAAGCGUGAGGCUCAACCUCAGCACGCCAUUGAUACUGGAGAGCUUGAUUGCGGUUGAGGUUGGCGGAAUUCGUCGUGUAGCGGUGAAAUGCAUAGAUAUGACGAAGAACCCCGAUUGCGUAGGCAGCUGACCAAGCCGUAAAUGACGCUCAUGCACGAAAGUGCGGGGAUCGAACAGGAUUAGAUACCCUGGUA
Molecule: ribosomal RNA, 453 nt
Filed under: uncultured Porphyromonadaceae bacterium
Lineage: Bacteria; Pseudomonadati; Bacteroidota; Bacteroidia; Bacteroidales; Porphyromonadaceae
Description: partial 16S ribosomal RNA
Rfam family: Bacterial small subunit ribosomal RNA
Source: RNAcentral